CCUACGGGUGGCUGCAGUCGAGAAUCAUUCACAAUGGGGGAAACCCUGAUGCUGCGACGCCGCGUGGGGGAAUGCGGUUCUUCGGUUUGUAAACCCCUGUCAUGUGGGAGCAAAUUACAAUGAUAGUGCCCCAAGCGGAAGCGACGGCUAACCCGGUACCAGCAGCCGCGGUAAUACAGGGGUCGCAAGCGUGGUUCGGAUUUACUGGGCGUAAGGGGGGCGGAGGCUGGUGUGUAAGUCGUGUGGGAAGGGCGCGGGCUUAACCCGCGGACGGCACUUGACACUGGGAGACUAGAGUAAUGGAGGGGGAGGCGGAAUUCGCGGUGUAGCAGUGAAAUGCGUAGAGAUCGAGAGGAACACUCGUGGCGAAGGCGGGUUCCUGGACAUUAACUGACGCUGAGGCACGAAGGCGAGGGUAGCGAAAGGGAUUAGAUACCCUAGUAGUC
Molecule: ribosomal RNA, 446 nt
Filed under: uncultured bacterium
Lineage: Bacteria
Description: partial 16S ribosomal RNA
Rfam family: Bacterial small subunit ribosomal RNA
Source: RNAcentral